AAGAGACGUUGCCCUUCGGGGUAUACCUCCCACCCUUUGUUUAUUAUACCUUUGUUGCUUUGGUGGGCCCGUCCUCGGACCACCGGCUUCUGCUGGUCAGUGCCCGCCAGAGGACCUAAAACUCUGUUUGUUAAUAUUGUCUGAGUACUAUAUAAUAGUUA
RNAcentral lists this unclassified non-coding RNA (161 nucleotides) under soil metagenome. Its description in RNAcentral is "partial internal transcribed spacer 1". The record is from RNAcentral.